UCGGGAAUUUUGGGCAAUGGGGGAAACCCUGACCCAGCAACGCCGCGUGAAGGAUGAAGUAUUUCGGUAUGUAAACUUCGAAAGAAUAGGAAGAAUAAAUGACGGUACUAUUUAUAAGGUCCGGCUAACUACGUGCCAGCAGCCGCGGUAAUACGUAGGGACCAAGCGUUGUUCGGAUUUACUGGGCGUAAAGGGCGCGUAGGCGGCAAUUCAAGUCAUCUGUGAAAUCUCCGGGCUUAACUCGGAACGGUCAGAUGAUACUGCUUUGCUAGAGUGCAGAAGGGGCAAUCGGAAUUCUUGGUGUAGCGGUGAAAUGCGUAGAUAUCAAGAGGAACACCUGAGGUGAAGACGGGUUGCUGGGCUGACACUGACGCUGAGGCGCGAAAGCGUGGGGAGCAAACAGGAUUAGAUACCCCUGUAGUCCCUGAGCGGGCUGGCAAGGCGCAU
Molecule: ribosomal RNA, 447 nt
Filed under: uncultured bacterium
Lineage: Bacteria
Description: bacterial SSU rRNA
Rfam family: Bacterial small subunit ribosomal RNA
Source: RNAcentral